UUAAAUUGAAGAGUUUGAUCAUGGCUCAGAUUGAACGCUGGCGGCAGGCCUAACACAUGCAAGUCGAACGGUAACAGGAAACAGCUUGCUGUUUUGCUGACGAGUGGCGGACGGGUGAGUAAUGUCUGGGAAACUGCCUGAUGGAGG
This 147-nucleotide ribosomal RNA is filed under the name Escherichia coli. RNAcentral's name for it is "partial 16S ribosomal RNA". It matches the Rfam family "Bacterial small subunit ribosomal RNA", at positions 1 to 139 of the family's 1533-position model. The record is from RNAcentral. Lineage: Bacteria; Pseudomonadati; Pseudomonadota; Gammaproteobacteria; Enterobacterales; Enterobacteriaceae.